Dickeya dadantii 3937 is the source of this 124-nucleotide small RNA. It matches the Rfam family "STnc490 Hfq binding RNA". The record is from Rfam. NCBI's taxonomy places the organism in Bacteria, Pseudomonadati, Pseudomonadota, Gammaproteobacteria, Enterobacterales, Pectobacteriaceae.
AACCCCCAGCUAGGCUGGGGGUUCCGUAAAGCUUCCAGCUUUGGGGCGGAUAUAAAAACCCCUUUUGAUUUGUUAAAACACCUUGCGGUCUGGCAACUGCAAUGGUCAAACAAGAAAUCAAAAG